RNAcentral lists this ribosomal RNA (1098 nucleotides) under Triticum aestivum (bread wheat). Its description in RNAcentral is "partial small subunit ribosomal RNA". The record is from RNAcentral. Lineage: Eukaryota; Viridiplantae; Streptophyta; Magnoliopsida; Poales; Poaceae.
AAUGAUGAGUCACAAGAUCAUGAUGAACAUGAAUAUUAUGAUGAUGAUGACAGUGACUUCGAUCUUGAUGAUGCAAUGAGACAUUUUGGUCUUAUGGCAAAUCUUCGGGGAUAUGAAUCAGGAGGAAAGGAAUGGGUUCUUGAUAGUGGAUGCACUGAUCACAUGACCGGAGAUGAAGAGAUGUUUUGUGAGCUUGCUGAAAAUGACGACCCUCGAAAAUAUGUCACCUUUGGUGAUAAUUCAAAGGGUAAAGUGCUUGGCCUUGGUAAGGUGGCCAUCUCACAUGAUAGUUCCAUUCAAAAUGUCAUGCUUGUUGAAUCUCUUGGCUACAACUUACUUUCAGUAUCUAGACUUGCUGAUUUCGGUUUGAAUGUCCUAUUUACUGAGGUAGAUUGCCAAGUAUUUUGUCGAGACAAUCAUAAAAUGGUCUUUACGGGUAUGCGUAGAGGUGAUCUUUACAUUGUCGAUUUCUCUAAAAAGGCACAACCUAAAACUUGCUUUGUUGCUAAAUCCUCAAAAGGUUGGUUGUGGCAUAGACGACUAGGCCACGUUGGCAUGACAAACCUUGACAAGCUUAUUAAAGGAAAUCAUAUCCUUGGAGUCAACGAUGUCAUAUUUGAUAAGGAUAGACUUUGCAGUGCUUGUCAAGUAGGCAAACAGGUUGGAGGAAGACAUCCCGUAAAAAACAUCAUGACCACAAGGAGGCCACUCGAGCUACUUCACAUGGAUCUUUUUGGUCCCAAUGCCUACAAGAGUCUCGGUGGAAAUUCUUUUGGUUUAGUUAUAGUUGAUGAUUUUUCAAGAUUUACGUGGGUGUUCUUUCUUAAUGACAAGUCACAGGUCCAGAAGAUCUUCAGAAACUUCGCUAGGAAGGCCCAAAAUCAGUUUGAUGUGAAGAUCAAGAAGGUUUGGAGUGACAACGUAACGGAGUUCAAGAACGCAAAUGCGGACACCUUUCUUGACGAAGAAAGGAUUUCACACGAGUUCUCGGCUACGUACACACCUCAACAAAAUGGAGUUGUUGAGAGGAAGAACCGGACGCUCAUCGAAAUGGCAAGAACGAUGCUUGAUGAAUACAAGACGCCAAAGCACUUUUGG